UGUGUAGGCGGUUCUUUAAGUUUGGUGUGAAAUCUCCCGGCUUAACCGGGAGGGUGCGCCGAAUACUGAGGGACUAGAGUGCGGGAGAGGAAAGUGGAAUUCCUGGUGUAGCGGUGAAAUGCGUAGAUAUCAGGAGGAACACCGGUGGUGUAGACGGCUUUCUGGACCGUAACUGACGCUGAGACACGAAAGCGUGGGUAGCAAACAGGAUUAGAUACCCUGGUAGUCCACGCCCUAAACGAUGCAUAUUUGGUGUGGGCAGUUCAUUCUGUCCGUGCCGGAGCUAACGCGUUAAAUAUGCCGCCUGGGGAGUACAGUCGCAAGGCUGAA
Molecule: ribosomal RNA, 330 nt
Filed under: uncultured bacterium
Lineage: Bacteria
Description: bacterial SSU rRNA
Rfam family: Bacterial small subunit ribosomal RNA
Source: RNAcentral